CCUCGCGGCGGUUCCCACGCGAGCCCCCCCGCUGCCUGCGCGCUUCCAGAACGGGAGUUAGGCUUUGCGCAAGCCGUUACCUCUCCCUAGCGGUGACUCUAGCAGCCGAGGAAAGAGGUCAGACCCAUUGCUACAGGUUCUUAAACUGAGGCCAGGGGUCAAGUGGCUUUGCCAGGAGCGGAGCCCUCCUCCCCACCCCACCACCUACAAGGUCGUGGACUUGAGGGAGCUCCGGCCGUGGGUGGCACUCCCAGUGUCCCCAGACUGUGGUUCAGAGCGUUGAAGCUGAGUUGGAAAAGUUCCUGCGUGUGGCUGAAGAGGACUGGAGCUGGAAAUGAAAGGAGCGGGACAGCUCAAUGUGUGGGAGAUAUGACGAGUGUUCAUUCAUGGCUGGUGUCAUCAAGGUGCCUCUAAACAUAGAAUUCAGGCUGAAGUCCUCCGCUCCCUGGAAGCAGCUGGGAGAAGGUGUAAAUAUAGUGUCAGGCUGUAAGAUUCUGCUCAGCAGUCACUUCCACCCAGAAGCCCUCCCUGAGACGCCUGGCCAGGCUGCGUGCUUCUCCCAGGCUCUCCCCCGCCACACAGGCGCACCUCUGCUGAGUCACUGACCUGGACUGUGCUGGCUUCCUGGUGGACAUCAAGUAUCUGGAGAGCAAGACCCAGUGGAACAUUGAUCUCCUGCCCUCUUCCCAGGAGCCUCUGCUCUCUCAGGUAGAAGCCAGGAGUACGUUGCCUUCGACGAUGGUGCCUGGAACAAGAAGAGCAGAUGCUGUGUCUCAAGGGGAAACUGUCGUUGGCUGAUGAACUCCAGACCAGGUGAAGACCAGCGACACCUUCUUCUGCUUUUUUCUUCCAGGAAUAUCCACGGAAACUUUCCCCAAACCACCUGCAAGGGCUUGUUCAGGACUCGGUUUGCACGCAGGGUCAUCCCUGGCUACCUCUGCUGUGCAGGGACUCUGCCUCUGUUCUGAACGUGGCCGCCCCCUGAAUACCAGCAGCACACCGUUUGUUGGGACGGAACAUCAGGUGCAGAGCCUGUGCCUCCGUCUCUUUACGCAAAGUAGAACUUAGUUGUCCAACAUCAGUGUAUUUUCCCUUUACUCAUGUGUGUUUCCAAUCAGAAAAGACAAGUGGUGCCGAUUAUGUAUGGUGCUGUGGUGAUAUGAGCUAAUGCCCAUGACCCUGAGAGAAAGGGAGGGAGAGAAGGUGUGGGGAGGGGAUAGAGAGAGAGAGAGAUUUAGAUUUUCCAUUUGAUUUAUUAUUAAUAGCUAGUCUGGCAGCAAAAUGAAUUCUUAGACAGAAAUGAAAUAUAGGUGUUUUCAGUUUUCUGAAAUCAUCUUGGCUCGGUGAUAAAGUAGCAUUUAAUGUUCAGAAGUUAAUUGACAGCCACAUUAAAAUGGUACUUUGAUAAAGAUAUGCAAUGACAAAUUCUUAAAUUUAAUAAUUUGUUUCAAUUAUUGUUGAGAUUUAUGUCUUCUCUACUAGUUUUUAAUUUAGUCUAUGCUGAAACUUGAUGCUUUAUUUUUGGUAUUUACCAUAACAUCUAACAUAAUGAAUAAUAUUCAUAACACCUGUGUAGACUUAAUGAAUAACAAAUGAAUAAAUUAUAUAGACCCACUGUCCUGCAGUGUCCCUAGUACCCUCCUACUGUUUUGUUAAUGUCAUGUUUCUCUCCAUCUAUCUGUCUUCCCUCAUACCCUUUAAAAUUUCUCCGUAGGCAGGUGCUGUGUCUCAGCAAGUUAAAGCCACUGCUUGGAAGGCCAGAUCCCAUAUCCAGGUGUCGGGUCUGGUUCCUGGUUACUAGGUUUCAGAUCCAGCUUUCUGCUAAUGUACACCCUAGGAGGCAGCAUGUAAUGGCUCAAGUCCUGGAGUCCCUGUCACCCACAUGGGAGACCCAGAUGGAUUUACAGACUUCCUUUUUUUUUUUUUUAAAUAAAGAUUUAUUUAUUUAUUUGAAAUUCAAGAGUUACACAGAGAGAGGAGAGGCAGAGAGAGAGAGAGAGAGGGAGAGAGAGAGAGAGAGAGAGAGAGAGAGGUUUUCCAUCCGCUGGUUCACUCCCCAAUUGGCCUGAAUGGCUGGAGCUGUGCCGAUCCGAAGCCAGGAGCCAGGAGCUUCUUCCGAGUCUCCUACACAGGUGCAGGGGCCCAAGGGCUUGGGCCAUCUUCUACUGCUUUUCCAGGCCACUGCAGAGAGCUGGAUCAGAAGUGGAGCAGCCAGGACUGGAACCGCCACCCAUAUGGGAUGCUGGCACUGUAGGCGGCGGCUUUACCCACUACGCAACAGCGCCGACCCCAAUUUACAGACCACGUCUAACUUUAGCCUGACCUGGCCUCUACUGUUGUGGGCACUUGGGGAAUAAACCAGUGGAUGGAAGAUUUCUCUCUCUCUCUCUCUCUCUCUCUCUCUCUCUCUCUCUCUUUCUCUGCCUUUCAAAUAAAUCGAUAAACAUUUGAGAAAAAAAACUUAUCCAGAAACAUUAACUGUGAUGACAUACAAAAACUAGCUCAAAGGAUUAAUAAGUGAAGGUGCUGUUAGGUCCUGUAUUAGAUAAACCACUGGGUCUUUGUGACUUAAGACAAAGAAGUUUGUUUCAUACUUACGAGGUUCAAACGAGGUACUCCUUAUUGGCAGGUGAUUCUUUUUGAGGUAACGACCACCAGGAUUCUGCCAUGCUGUGACGCUUUCACCUUCAACAUGUGACUUCUCAGGUCCCACACUUGUCUGCCUCAAGUUGAUAGAAGGGAAAAAACAACAAGAACUGGGCAUAUCCGGUUUUUAGGUCUUGUACCACCAGCAAGCCCGCAUGAUGAUAAGGGAGGCUACAAGUUAUAGUCUCUUUGUGUGUCUAGGAAGAAUAGAGAACAAAUGACAAACAAACAGACACUCAUCUCUGCCUAACUCGAUUUUUAAAGUGAAGGGUAGGAGGAUGUGAGGAUGUUAUGGAAAAAUGGCUCAUAAAAAGUCUCAAAGGCCAACUUUACAACCACAGGAACACAAGACAUCCUUUCUACCUCUCUUCAUUUCUAAUGAACUUCACUCGUAAAAUAUAGGUUAGAUUUCCCUCUUCUAUACCUACCUUCAUUGCACCCUAUGUUUAUUUUUCCAAAGCAUUUGUCACCCUAGACUGAGUUUAUUUCCUUACUUGUAUGUGUUCUUUAUGAGACCAAUGCAGGCAAACUCUGCAAAGGUUUCCUGCAUCUUUGAUUCAACACGAUUUAGUCAGAAAAACAGCACAGUCAUUUUAAUAGAGAGAACUUAAUACAAUGAAUUGGGUAACUAGGCACUGGAGGACUGGAAAGGCAAGGAUGGAACAGUACAGGAACCACAGCAAGCAGCUACCAUUCCUAUGGUUGGGAAUAAAGGAACAUAGUUGGGGCUACUAGAACUUCAAAGCCUGCCCAGCUGGGACUCAGAUUUCCUAGGAGAAUGUGUUGCCUGCCUGGUGCUGGUGCCUUAGCUGCUUAGUAGACAGGCCCUGUGAAUCACAGAGGAAGUGACCCAGAACCAUGGGGGUGCCGAUUAGCUAGAGCUGUUAUGGGGGGCAGGGGUGGAGAAUGGGAUUAGGCUGCUUUGGGACUGUUGAAGGAAAAACAGGUACCACCCACUAUUACCCAGUGAAGACCAAUAUUCUGGCAGUGUUGAUGGACAGCAGCAAACCGGAAGGCCCAGGUCUCAUCUCUUACGUCCAGGCUCCCUCUUGCAUCUUCUGUUGACAGAACAUAGUGUGGAGCCUGCUGACCAGACUGGUUUAUAGAGUCCUAGAUUGGAAUCACAGAGGGUGGAUUUGGAGCUGAAGGAUUAUAGUUUAAGAUGAUACCAUCCAGGGGGGCCGGCACUGUGGCACAGUGGGUUAAAGCCCUGGCCUGAAGCAUCAGUAUCCCAUAUGGGUGCCGGUUUGAGACCUGGCCACUCUACUUCUGAUCCAGCUCUCUGCUAUGGCCUGGUAAAAGAUGGCCCAAGUCCUUGGGCCCCUGCACCCAUGUGGGAGACCCAGAAGAAGCUCCUGGCUCCUGGCUUCGGAUAGGCACAGCUCUGGAAAUUACAGCCAAUUGGGGAGUGAACCACCGGAUGGAAGAUCUCUCUCUUUGUGUCUCCCUCUGUCUGUAACUCUUUCAAAUAAAUAAAAAAAAAAAAGAUGACACCAUCCAGUUCACUGUGAUUGGGCACUAUUGAACCCUCCAUAAAUGUUUAUGAAAUGAGUGAAUGCACAGGCAACAAGCAUUGGGUGCUGUGUCCCAGGAACUGAUUAAAGGCUAGGGAGAAGUAUUAAUGAAGGGGAAUCUCAGGGCAGAGAAACAAGGAAUGGGACUUCCUGUGCAUGGGAACUGCUGCAUAGAAUGCAGCCAGCGCUAAACCCAGGAAAGACACUAGAAAUCAGCAGGGAACUCCUCUACCCAAGGAGGCUGUGCAGCCUUGUGAGAUACAGAUAAGGGAAUUGUGACGAAUCCAACUGGUACCCCUGCUAGAGGUCUUGGAAAAGCUACAGGAGAUGAGUGUUCACAACUUCUCCAGUCGUGCUGGGGUGUUGGAAAGAAGGCUCCUGGCUUGCCUUUUCUCUAACAGGACACAGCCUUUCCCUGGUGGAUGUGGGUGAUGAGCGAGAUGCUUGGAAACAGACCAGCCUCCUCUGCUGUGUUGAGCGAGGUCUGAAGACAGCAGAUCUUGGGGCAUUCCUCUACUGACAGCCGUUUCUCCACCUCGAAUGAGUAUGCAUGGUUGUAGGAAGCAGAGCUUUUAGCUAAAGCUUCUGGAUUCAUUUCAAAUUGAGAUUGUGCUUCCAGAAUCAGAAGGGCCAAACAGCAGGAGGGAGGCAAAGCUACACGGUGUGGAAAAGCUUCUGGAGAAAGCUUGUUCUUGUGCUGCAAGGUUGAAGAACACAACGACAGUAAAACAUACAAGUGAGUCCUUCUGAUGAGCUCAUGAUGGGCUCAGCUCCCUUCUCUACCUCCCUCAGGACACUGAACAGCUGGUGGUGUGGACUGACAGAACCCAGCAAGGAGAAAGUGGUCCGGAUAAACAUCCAGACCCUUCCUUUUGGUGGAAGUGAUUUUUCUAGACUGAUCUGAACAGGAUGCAAAGCUGACAAAUAAGGCAGUGAGGAUGUAAAAGCUCUUGCCAAUGAGACUUGUCUUAGCCCAUUCAGACUUCUGUAUUAAAGCAACCACAGGGUACUCUGGCUUAUAAAUAACAGAAAGAUAUUCAUCAUUUUGGAACUUGGUUCAAGAUCAAAGUGACGGUGGGUUCAAAGAUGAAUGUGGACCAGCGGCGCGGCUCACUAGGCUAAUCCUCCACCUUGCGGCGCCGGCACACCGGGUUCUAGUCCCGAUUGGGGUGCCGGAUUCUGUCCCGGUUGCCCCUCUUCCAGGCCAGCUCUCUGCUGUGGCCAGGGAGUGCAGUGGAGGAUGGCCCAAGUGCUUGGGCCCUGCACCCCAUGGGAGACCAGGAUAAGUACCUGGAUCCUGCCAUCGGAUCAGUGCGGUGCGCCGGCCACAGCGCGCCGGCCGCAUUGGAGGGUGAACCAACGGCAAAAGGAAGACCUUUCUCUCUGUCUCUCUCUCUCACUGUCUACUCUGCCUGUCAAUAAAAUAAAUAAAUAAAAAUAAAAUAAAAUAAAAUAAAAUAAAAUAAAAUAAAAGGAUGAAUGUGAGCCACUUCCUGCUCAGAGAUGGUGCCUUCUGGCGGUGACCUCCUGUGGAGGAAAUGGAUAACUCUGGUCUCGCUAGCCACUUAGGAGGGCACUAAUACAGUCCUGAGGGCUCUGCCUUCAAGCUUUAACCACCUCCCAAAGAUCCCACCUCCGCAGACCACCAUCCUAGGGGGUCAGGUUUCAACAUGGGAAUUUGGGGAGGGGAACACAAACCUCCAGACCACAGCAGGACUGAAUUUAUAUGCGUAUAGAAUCAUAGCUGAAUACUUGUGCUAAAAGUGAUUACAAAAACAACACAAAUAAUAAUAAUAGAGAGUGUAAGAGUCAUGAUAACAAUAGAACAAGGUACACAAUUCUAAUACUUUGGGAGGUAGGGUAAG
Molecule: non-coding RNA, 6025 nt
Organism: Oryctolagus cuniculus (rabbit)
Lineage: Eukaryota; Metazoa; Chordata; Mammalia; Lagomorpha; Leporidae
Source: RefSeq, a predicted model, not a curated record